UACCAGACUCCUACGGGAGGCAGCAGUGGGGAAUAUUGCACAAUGGGGGAAACCCUGAUGCAGCGACGCCGCGUGAGCGAUGAAGUAUUUCGGUAUGUAAAGCUCUAUCAGCAGGGAAGAAGAUGACGGUACCUGACUAAGAAGCCCCGGCUAACUACGUGCCAGCAGCCGCGGUAAUACGUAGGGGGCAAGCGUUAUCCGGAUUUACUGGGUGUAAAGGGAGCGUAGACGGCGGUGCAAGCCAGAUGUGAAAGCCCGGGGCUCAACCCCGGGACUGCAUUUGGAACUGUAUGGCUGGAGUGUCGGAGAGGCAGGCGGAAUUCCUAGUGUAGCGGUGAAAUGCGUAGAUAUUAGGAGGAACACCAGUGGCGAAGGCGGCCUGCUGGACGAUGACUGACGUUGAGGCUCGAAAGCGUGGGGAGCAAGCAGGAUUAGAUACCCCUGUAU
This 447-nucleotide ribosomal RNA is filed under the name uncultured bacterium. RNAcentral's name for it is "bacterial SSU rRNA". It matches the Rfam family "Bacterial small subunit ribosomal RNA", at positions 329 to 793 of the family's 1533-position model. The record is from RNAcentral.